Molecule: non-coding RNA, 434 nt
Organism: Ciona intestinalis (vase tunicate)
Lineage: Eukaryota; Metazoa; Chordata; Ascidiacea; Phlebobranchia; Cionidae
Source: RefSeq, a predicted model, not a curated record
AACAGAACUUUUUCCUUGAAAUCGAAGCGUUUCGAAAAUGUUUACACCAAAUCCGUUAUAAAAAGCGGCGAGUUCUGGUACGAAAUCAUCUCUUCAUUCAGAAGUCAACAAAAUGAAUAAGUCAGCGCUUCUCCUCUUGCUUGUCAUCGGACUCCUUGUCCUAACCGAAACUACAAAUGCUGAUAACUGGAACGGGACAAGAUAUGAUCAGAAUGAGAUGCAAGAUAAUACUGAAGACCAUUUAAUUGAAUUGCUUGAAGAUAGCAUCAAGUGGGGGAAAUAUAAUCAGAAGCAGAUGCAAGAUAUAGCUGAGGAUCAUUUGAUAGAAAUGCUUCAGGAUCAUCUGGAUUCUGAGCAAGCCGAACUUGAUGAAUAAAUCAUCGAACAUAAAUGCCGACUUUUGGUUGUUAAUAUAUAAACAAACCACUCUGUAC